UUUAUCGGUCCACAAACGAACCCGGUGUACCCUGCCAUAACUCCGUGAAUGGCAGAGUGCGCCAACAACGUGCAGUACGAGUUAUCUGUUGCGUUUGGAGGAACAGCACGUAUCAUGUACGUAGGAUCUAUGUAUUUUAUCGUGAACAACUCGUUUGGAUGAUCCCUGCUCCACCAAUUCUUGAGUUCGGACUUCAGCCACCCUCCAACGUCCAAGAAGACUGGGUUGCCCGACUCGUCCUUCUCUGUUUUCUGGGAUUCAGUCCUCGGUAUUAUAUCUUGUCCUGCACCCUCGGCUACUACCAGCACCGCGUGCCCCAUCUCCUUCAACCGGUCUUCGAGAAAUUCAAAUAGCCCUCCCUUACCUUCCAAGUAGAAGUCGAUCUCGGGAAUCAAACAACAAUCGACAUCACGGCUACUUAAUGUUGCAUGUAGUGCAAUAUGACCAGUACUGCGACCCAUAAGCUUCACCAACCCUAUCCCAUUUACUGCACUCUCCGCUUCUACAUGAGCGGCAUUAAUAGCUUGUUGUGCCAUCUCAACUGCAGUUUGGAACCCAAAUGAUCUGUCGAUAAUG
Molecule: unclassified non-coding RNA, 576 nt
Filed under: Hevea brasiliensis (rubber tree)
Lineage: Eukaryota; Viridiplantae; Streptophyta; Magnoliopsida; Malpighiales; Euphorbiaceae
Source: RNAcentral